Lotus japonicus is the source of this 1449-nucleotide long non-coding RNA. RefSeq lists it as uncharacterized. NCBI's taxonomy places the organism in Eukaryota, Viridiplantae, Streptophyta, Magnoliopsida, Fabales, Fabaceae. The transcript is spliced from 3 exons. The record is from RefSeq and is a predicted model, not a curated record.
UUCAGAUGAGGAUUAUGUGGAUUAUUUACAAGAAGUGAUUCCUGAAAUUCCAGCAAACAUUCUUGCUUUGCUUCAGAUAGCUGAAAAAUAUAGACGUUCUUGAUUUUGGAGACCCAACCGGCCCUUGCUUUUACUUCGGAGCUUUUAUGUGGGAUUCUGAGAAAUCUGGGAAAAGAGAUUCUGACGGGGCUGCAGCUUUUUCACUGUGUUGUAUGAAGGGAAAAGUUGAUUUACCCUUAAUCCCUAAGCCGCCUCCUCUACUUCUUGACUUGAUAACAGAUAAAGAACCUAGGGCGCAGAAUUUCAAGAAGAAUAUAAGAGCGUAUAAUAGCAUGUUUGCCUUUACGACUAUGGGUGGGAAGAUUUUAACUGUUCUUAAUGACGGUGGAGCCCCCCCCCCCAAUUUGUAUUAAGUGGACAGAACUAUCACCAAAUGGAUUCCUUAAUUCCACGUCAAGGGCAACAUCCUAAGUUUGCUUAGCUGUAUAUUUAUGAUACACAGAAUGAGAAUGCUAAUAGAGUAAGGAAUCUAAGCUCCAAUGGGAGAGGACAGGGUCUUGACCUUUCUUUAGUGGAAGAUCUUAAGCAGAUGAUUGACAGACACAAUGUCCUAGCCAGAAUAUUUAGCCAGGUUUGAGAAUGAUUGAAUUCUAUUGAUUCAACCCAAUUAUCUAUCUGACUUUUUAGAGCCCGAGGGAAAGAUCCUAGAACUUAUAAUAUGCCGUCAACGGAUGAGGUAGCAGCCUUGAUUGUUUGGGACAUUUGGGAGUCAGACGUUGGCAGAGAUGUUGUUGUCAAAAUGAAUGAUGGAUAUCUUUCAAACAUACAUGAAACUCAUACCGCUUUCAUUCCCUUGCACUAUCCGCUUCUAUUUCCUUACGGAGAAGAUGGCUUCCGUGAAGAUAUUCCCAUUAGUGAGAUUUUUAGAAACAUGGGAAGCUACAAAAGAUGGAAAUUUUAUAUGACGCAAUUCAUUGCAUUCCGCCUCCAAGACAGAAACUCUGAGUAUGGGAACAUUGUUUUUGCUAAGAGGUCGUUCCAACAGUUCGUCGUUGACGCAUAUAACAUGAUUGAAACAAACUGUCUUUCUUAUAUUCGAAUUAAUCAGAAAACUAUAAGAGCAGAUUAUUUAAAUGGGGUUGUAGAGGUAAUUGAGAAGGGAGAGGCAGACCCGUCAUCUAUAAGAAAGCGGAUUAUAUUGCCUCCUUCCUUUACAUGAGGCCGUCGUUACAUGUUUAAUAAUUGUCAGGAUGCCAUGUCAAUUUGCAAAAAGUUUGGGUACCCUGAUCUUUUUAUUACAGCAACAUGUAAUUCACAAUGGGGGGAAAUUCAAAGGUAUGUCUGUUGUAGGAAUUUGAGAGCAGAAGAUAGACCUGAUAUUUGUGUUAGAGUUUUCAAGAUGAAGCUCGAUAAUCUGAUGUCUGAUAUAAGGAAAGGCACUAUAUUUGG